Molecule: long non-coding RNA, 574 nt
Organism: Eriocheir sinensis (Chinese mitten crab)
Lineage: Eukaryota; Metazoa; Arthropoda; Malacostraca; Decapoda; Varunidae
Exons: 3
Source: RefSeq, a predicted model, not a curated record
AGGUGUGAAGUUAAAAUGAUGUAGAAGGGAAGGUGUGAAGUUAAAAUGAUGAAGAAGGGAAGGUGUGAAGUUAAAAUGAUGAAGAAGGGAAGGUGUGAAGUUAAAAUGAUUAAGAAGGGAAGGUGUGAAGUUAAAAUGAUGUAGAAGGGAAGGUGUGAAGUUAAAAUGAUGAAGAAGGGAAGGUGUGAAGUUAAAAUGAUGAAGAAGGGAAGGUGUGAAGUUAAAAUGAUAAAGAAGGGAAGGUGUGAAGUUAAAAUGAUAAAGAAGGGAAGGUGUGAAGUUAAAAUGAUGAAGAAGGGAAGGUGUGAAGUUAAAAUGAUAAAGAAGGGAAGGUGUGAAGUUAAAAUGAUAAAGAAGGGAAGGUGUGAAGUUAAAAUGAUAAAGAAGGGAAGGUGUGAAGUUAAAAUGAUAAAGAAGGGAAGGUGUGAAGUUAAAAUGAUAAAGAAGGGAAGGUGUGAAGUUAAAAUGAUAAAGAAGGGAAGGUGUGAAGUUAAAAUGAUAAAGAAGGGAAGGUGUGAAGUUAAAAUGAUAAAGAAGGGAAGGUGUGAAGUUAAAAUGAUAAAGAAGGGAAGGU